Long non-coding RNA from Phyllostomus hastatus (greater spear-nosed bat), 488 nucleotides. RefSeq lists it as uncharacterized. The transcript is spliced from 2 exons. NCBI's taxonomy places the organism in Eukaryota, Metazoa, Chordata, Mammalia, Chiroptera, Phyllostomidae. The record is from RefSeq and is a predicted model, not a curated record.
CCUGCACCCAGUGCACGGUCCCCGCGUUAAUCCACACGAGGUCUCCAGGGCGCUGCACGAAGCGGUACACAGGGAUAUUGGAAGCAUAGAGGUCAUCCAGGAUUGGCCACCAGGAACCUGUCAGCUCUAACAGGCUCCCCCAAGGUCAGCCCCGGAGGACCCCAGAGCCACAGGAAGGUUGGCCAUCCGUCACCAGCCCUCUUUCUCCCACUGCUGGUCCGAGCUUCAGCCCCACCACAAGAGUCCUCAGGUGUAUGUGAGGCCACAUGUGCACAGAGAAGGUGCUUAAUGAAUGUCAGAUUCUUUAAGUCAUCAUUGCAUGCAAUGAAAGAUUUAGUUAAGUAAAAGCCUAGAAUGUGCUUUAAGUAACUCAGUGGAAGGAAAAACAUAAGGGUAUAGAUGAAACAAUGAUUUUUAUGUUUUUAUAUGAUUCCCUCUACUUUAAUGCAUGUCUGAAAUCUUGCACAAUAAAGGUCGAAAAAGAGAAA